UAUAACUACCUCAGUACUGACAGACAGACAGGCAGAACUACCUCAGUACUGACAGACAGGCAGACAGAACUACCUCAGUACUGACAGACAGACAGGCAGA
This is a long non-coding RNA of Osmerus eperlanus (European smelt), 100 nucleotides long. RefSeq lists it as uncharacterized. Lineage: Eukaryota; Metazoa; Chordata; Actinopteri; Osmeriformes; Osmeridae. The transcript is spliced from 3 exons. The record is from RefSeq and is a predicted model, not a curated record.